Molecule: long non-coding RNA, 783 nt
Filed under: Triticum aestivum (bread wheat)
Lineage: Eukaryota; Viridiplantae; Streptophyta; Magnoliopsida; Poales; Poaceae
Description: long non-coding RNA (TAES_LNC016010)
Source: RNAcentral
GUCAGUACAUGUAGUAGCUAGCUCCAGAAAAGGUAUUGUCCUGUAGCUUUGGCCUUACCUAGUAUGGAUAACAUUUUUAUGGAAAACUUGCUAUUUCCCUGGUGCGCUAACAAGAUGUGUUGGAAUAUCAGCUAGCGGCCUGAUCUGGCCAUGCCGCACCACCACUGGCACGUCCACCAUGGUUGCUGGCAGCCGUCCAAGUUGAGCGCUGAUGGGAGUCCUUAGCGUGCUUCAACGACACUCUCUCAUAUCAAUCUCUCUCUUUCUUUGCUCCUGCUAUUAAAAUGUGUAGAUGUGCUGCUUUGCUAAUUGAGUAGUUGGGAAGAUGUGAAAAGAACAUGCUCUCUAGGUGUGUGAUUAUUCCUGUGAGCACAAAUGUAUUUAAAUGUUUAUUUUGUGCUUCAACUUAUGCUUUUGGGCAGUACAAAUACAUCUUCAAAAAUAAGUACAGAUGCGGUCUUAUAGAACUCUAAUUGUUGUUGGAUGCUAUUCCAAAUGCCAAUGAUCAUGCAAAACGGUUAUUGCUAGAAUCUAGAUGAUAUGUAAUGUAGUUACCAUAGUUUCACCCUAUUUUUAUGGUUCUAAUUAUUGUUGCAUAAGUCUUUAAAAGAAAUGUUCGCUAAUUUUUUGUGAUCAUUGCUUGUAGGUAUUCGUAUGAACAUUAAAAUAAUGGCUUUUCUUGUAGGAGGUUCAAAGAUUGUUGUGGAGCAAGUUCAAGAGAUCAGUUUGGUGAAAAUAAUGUGAUCUUUUGGUCAGGAUUUUGCAUGAUCCAUAGCCAUCAGG